Molecule: ribosomal RNA, 429 nt
Filed under: Acidobacteriota bacterium
Lineage: Bacteria; Pseudomonadati; Acidobacteriota
Description: Acidobacteria bacterium partial 16S ribosomal RNA
Rfam family: Bacterial small subunit ribosomal RNA
Source: RNAcentral
UGGGGAAUUUUGGACAAUGGGGGAAACCCUGAUCCAGCCAUCCCGCGUGUGCGAUGAAGGCCUUCGGGUUGUAAAGCACUUUUGGCAGGAAAGAAACGUCAUGGGUUAAUACCCCGUGAAACUGACGGUACCUGCAGCAUAAGCACCGGCUAACUACGUGCCAGCAGCCGCGGUAAUACGUAGGGUGCAAGCGUUAAUCGGAAUUACUGGGCGUAAAGCGUGCGCAGGCGGUUCGGAAAGAAAGAUGUGAAAUCCCGGAGCUCAACUUUGGAACUGCAUUUUUAACUACCGGGCUAGAGUGUGUCAGAGGGAGGUGGAAUUCCGCGUGUAGCAGUGAAAUGCGUAGAUAUGCAGAGGAACACCGAUGGCGAAGGCAGCCUCCUGGGAUAACACUGACGCUCAUGCACGAAAGCGUGGGGAGCAAACAGG